GUAAAUGCUCUCAAUUCUUAUUCACAAAGAAUAAUGAAACAAUUACAGGAGUGAGUACAAAUGAGGGGGAGGCUCUCUAUUUAUAGUUGAGCUCCCCCAAAACCGACGGUCAAGAUACAAUUACAUCGACGGAUGAGAUUUAACCAUAUCCCUUAAUUUUAGGGAUUUACAAGAUAAGCCUUAUCAAAUCUAAUCUAAUCUUUACAAGAUAAGAUUCCCUCUAUCUCCUAAGAUCAGUUACCAUAUUUGCCUAAGUUGCCAUAUCUUCAUUAUCGGGCCAACCAGGAUUCAAUCUGACAGACUUGUCCAAUAUCUCUUUGAAUCGGGCCAGUUCUCGUAGGCCAAAUGAUCCCCAUCUGAGCAACAGACCUCCAUUAGAUGCAUUUGGUGCGCUGGUCACGGGCUUUGAACUGCGGCCCGUGACACUUGAACUAUCAAUAUGUGUUUUAUUAUGAUACAUGUUGUUAACACUAUUAGUGAAUUGCUAAACCAACCAAUGAAAAUUCAACACGUAAUUUUUUUUCAAAAAAAAAUUAAAUAAAACAAAAAAAUAAAUUAAAAAAAAACUAAACGUAUUAUUAACAAAAAAAAAAAGGAAGUAAAUCAUGUAGUUUGGUUUGGCACGCAUGACCAAAGCUGAGUUGAGGCUAUGGGGGUAUUUUGGUACAAUGACUAGUUCAAGGUCCAGUUCCUUCCCGGCGGUCAUUGAUGAUCACAAAUUAGUUAGUUUAAAAGAAGCAAAUCUCAUAGCAGCUACCUAACUCAAAAUCCCCCCUAAAUACUUCAAACCUUAUUUUCUACAUCAGUCAUUAUUAUUUAACCAAACUCGGUCUAGGUAUGGACCAAAAUUUCGGUAGAAUUAACAGCGAUAGCGUCUAAAGAUCGUCCCCCCAUGUACUUGUAGUGUACAUGUUAUUAGAUGGCGCCUCAUGUUCACCAACUCAAAAUACAUUAAGCAACAGUGCAGUUAAUUACUUGGACCAGCUCGUACUAUAAAUCCUGUUCACAUUUAACUUGGGGUUUAACUAGACUGCACUGUUUUUGUUUUCCCAAAGCCCCCACCAAGUUAUAUAUAUAUCAAAGUAAACCUCAGCCACAAUAAGUGAAAAGUGUGAGUAAAUGGGGAGGUCUCCUUGUUGUGAGAAAGGUCACACAUACAAAGGAUCAUGGACUAGAGAAGAAGAUGAGCGUUUGAUAGCUUACAUCCAAGCUCAUGGAGAGGGUUGUUGGAGAUCCCUUCCGAAAGCUGCUGGCCUUCUCCGUUGUGGUAAGAGUUGCCGGCUUCGAUGGAUUAACU
Molecule: long non-coding RNA, 1297 nt
Filed under: Gossypium barbadense (sea-island cotton)
Lineage: Eukaryota; Viridiplantae; Streptophyta; Magnoliopsida; Malvales; Malvaceae
Description: long non-coding RNA (GBAR_LNC020739)
Source: RNAcentral